Molecule: long non-coding RNA, 1131 nt
Organism: Salarias fasciatus (jewelled blenny)
Lineage: Eukaryota; Metazoa; Chordata; Actinopteri; Blenniiformes; Blenniidae
Exons: 3
Source: RefSeq, a predicted model, not a curated record
GUGAGAAUCUGGCACCAGACAGACAAACAGGAGAAGACUAAAUGGGAAGGGGGUGGAGGCAGGAGAUGAUUGGAAAACGGAAUAAUUACAAGUUGAGGUGAAGGAGAGACAUGGAGAAACAUGGACAGCAGGAACAGCCACAAAGACUCACUUCAACAAGCCAAAAUGUCUCCCUGAUAUUUGAUAAGCCCCUCCUACUGGGCGAGACAAACACAAAUAAUACAUUCAAAAAUGGCAUGUAGCCACUGAGCAAACAUAAAAUCAUAUUAAACAGCAGUGGAAUGGAAUUGAAAACCCACUCAUUAACAUAACACAUCCCCCAGAUCAAAACACUCUUAAAAUGAUGAAAAUACACUAAAUUGGUGCAUUAAAUGGGUGCAGCCGGCCGGGUGGCCAUUUUCCGCUGUAAAGGACGAGGACUGUGGAGUGAAAACCCACCACUGAACUACAAGGAGAAUCAUGUGAUGGGCUCCUCGAUCUCCUCCCUCCUGCGUUGCUCCAGCUGGAUCCAGAGCCGGUAGGAACUCCUCAGCCGGUGGCAGUGGUCCGUCGGGUUCUCGCCAGGCGGCGCACUGGGGAAGCAGAACUGCUGUGGUUGCUGAAGUCUCUGACCUGUCCUGGUUUUCAUGAGACAAACAGGAGGAAACAGUCUUCUCUCGACGAGCCAUCCCACUUCUGACACCAUAUGUGACCGGCAUGGUGAAGGAAGUGGGAUCCCCUCGUCCCCCUCCUCCCCCAACACAAGAUGAACUCAGUGUUUAGACAGAUGAUAUAUUCUGACACCUGGGCCUCGUCUACCCCACAAUGACAGGAGUCAAUGGAAAGUUUCCCAUUAACACAGAGAAGUUGUUAAAAUGUACAUUUUUAGGGAAAUACUAAAAACAAGAUGUUUUCAUGUUGGAAGACGGGGAAGGGCUGCUUGUUUGUUUUUGCCAUGACACCAUACAUGCAAAGAACAACACAGAAUGAACAUGACUUGCAGAUGUAAUAAACAGAAAGUUCCACCACUGUUUUCACAAAGUGGUUUUUCAGUGACUCUUGUCAUGUGAACAACCAGCCAAAACCGACUGAAAGUUAUCUAGACCUCAUUUUCUCUUGAAAAUGAAGUCUAGAUAACUUUCAAACCCUCGG